UGCAGGACGGGCCCAGCGCCUGGCUUCCAGGCCUGACUCUCAGUCCAGCUCCAGCCAAGGUGGACUGUCCGGCUCUAAACUUCCAAGGUGCUCUUAUCCGAGGAGCAACACCGGACACCGUCUUUGCCAUUACUUGAUACAAAUGCUAGAGUGACUUCUUCAGCUGAAAGGAAAGGAUUCUUGAUGGACCCUCAGGGUUUUAAAAGAAGAGAUGAACAAACAUCAGAAAUGACGAGGAGCCCGAAGCUGGGGAUUCCAAGUAAAAUGGUGAGAAGUGGCUGAGAAAGGACUGGACACUGGUGGCUGCUUCACAGCGGUGCUCCUCCACCAGCCUGAGGAUGACAAUGAAGAACAAAAGAAGGGGAAGAGGAAGAGGCUGGAGUCCAAGGAGAAGCGGAGGAGGCCUGGCUUCUCCCAGUGUCUCUCACGUUCCUCAGGAAGCUGCCCUCCUUCACGCCACCAGCCCCAAAUCCCUAGACUGUGGUCAGCCUACCUCAGCACUCCACAGUGUGCGUGCAUGUGUGCUUUGAAUGCGUGCUUUGAGUGCGCGCGUGCAUGCUGUGUGUGCGCGUGUGUGCCUGCUUGCGAGCAUGUAGCUAAAGAAUGAAACCAGAGCCUUGGCCAGUCUGGGUGAGAGCUGCAUCCCUGAGCUGUAUCCCACCCACCUGGUACCUGUUUAACACGUGUCGGAUUCGUGGUCACCGUUACC
Fukomys damarensis (Damara mole-rat) is the source of this 709-nucleotide long non-coding RNA. RefSeq lists it as uncharacterized. The record is from RefSeq and is a predicted model, not a curated record. The transcript is spliced from 4 exons. Lineage: Eukaryota; Metazoa; Chordata; Mammalia; Rodentia; Bathyergidae.